GAUGAAGAACGUAGCGAAAUGCGAUAAGUAAUGUGAAUUGCAGAAUUCAGUGAAUCAUCGAAUCUUUGAACGCAUCUUGCGCUCCUUGGUAUUCUGAGGAGCAUGCCUGUUUGAGUGUCAUUAAAUUCUCAACUACACUGACUUUGAAUUGGUGUGGCUUGGAUUUGGGGGGAAAAUUGUUGUGGGCUUUUUGUAUAGUCUGCUCCCCUGAAAUUGAUUAGCGGUACCUUUGUGGAACUGUCUACAGGUGUGAUAAUUAUCUACAACUUAGACAUCUGCUGGAAUGCUGCUUUCUAAACCUUACUUGUAUUGACAAUCUUGACCUCAAAUCAGGUAGGACUACCCGCUGAACUUAAGCAUAUCAAUAAGCGGAGGA
RNAcentral lists this unclassified non-coding RNA (376 nucleotides) under soil metagenome. RNAcentral's name for it is "partial contains 5.8S ribosomal RNA, internal transcribed spacer 2, and large subunit ribosomal RNA". The stretch from base 1 to 120 matches the Rfam family "5.8S ribosomal RNA", at positions 35 to 154 of the family's 154-position model. The record is from RNAcentral.